RNAcentral lists this ribosomal RNA (679 nucleotides) under uncultured bacterium. RNAcentral's name for it is "bacterial SSU rRNA". It matches the Rfam family "Bacterial small subunit ribosomal RNA", at positions 76 to 748 of the family's 1533-position model. The record is from RNAcentral.
UAGCUUGCUACUUUGCCGGCGAGCGGCGGACGGGUGAGUAAUGUCUGGGAAACUGCCUGAUGGAGGGGGAUAACUACUGGAAACGGUAGCUAAUACCGCAUGACCUCGAAAGAGCAAAGUGGGGGAUCUUCGGACCUCACGCCAUCGGAUGUGCCCAGAUGGGAUUAGCUAGUAGGUGAGGUAAUGGCUCACCUAGGCGACGAUCCCUAGCUGGUCUGAGAGGAUGACCAGCCACACUGGAACUGAGACACGGUCCAGACUCCUACGGGAGGCAGCAGUGGGGAAUAUUGCACAAUGGGCGCAAGCCUGAUGCAGCCAUGCCGCGUGUGUGAAGAAGGCCUUAGGGUUGUAAAGCACUUUCAGCGAGGAGGAAGGCAUCACACUUAAUACGUGUGGUGAUUGACGUUACUCGCAGAAGAAGCACCGGCUAACUCCGUGCCAGCAGCCGCGGUAAUACGGAGGGUGCAAGCGUUAAUCGGAAUUACUGGGCGUAAAGCGCACGCAGGCGGUUUGUUAAGUCAGAUGUGAAAUCCCCGCGCUUAACGUGGGAACUGCAUUUGAAACUGGCAAGCUAGAGUCUUGUAGAGGGGGGUAGAAUUCCAGGUGUAGCGGUGAAAUGCGUAGAGAUCUGGAGGAAUACCGGUGGCGAAGGCGGCCCCCUGGACAAAGACUGACGCUC